UACGGAGGAUCCGAGCGUUGUCCGGAUUUAUUGGGCGUAAAGCGAGCGCAGGUGGUUUAUUAAGUCUGGUGUAAAAGGCAGUGGCUCAACCAUUGUAUGCAUUGGAAACUGGUAGACUUGAGUGCAGGAGAGGAGAGUGGAAUUCCAUGUGUAGCGGUGAAAUGCGUAGAUAUAUGGAGGGACACCGGUGGCGAAAGCGGCUCUCUGGCCUGUAACUGACACUGAGGCUCGAAAGCGUGGGGAGCAAACAGG
This 252-nucleotide ribosomal RNA is filed under the name uncultured bacterium. Its description in RNAcentral is "partial 16S ribosomal RNA". It matches the Rfam family "Bacterial small subunit ribosomal RNA", at positions 524 to 776 of the family's 1533-position model. The record is from RNAcentral.